GCUUGAAACCACACAUCGUCGAGGAGGUUUCCAUUUCAUCGGCAUAGACAGAAACUUGGCGGCAAGACCGCCCUCUAACCAUCCACUGUUCUCUUUUUUUGUUUGUGUGACUAAUCGACUGUUCUAUAAUGAACGCUGACAUUAACAUUUUAACAAUUAUGUAUCUUGUAGGAUCACCGGGACAAUAUUGACUGCCUCACUCCACCAGAAAAAUGUUCCUCCAAUCUGUGAAACAAAACAACCCAUC
RNAcentral lists this long non-coding RNA (247 nucleotides) under Brassica napus (rape). Its description in RNAcentral is "long non-coding RNA (BNAP_LNC016400)". The record is from RNAcentral. Lineage: Eukaryota; Viridiplantae; Streptophyta; Magnoliopsida; Brassicales; Brassicaceae.